GACAGAGGGUGCAAACGUUGUUCGGAAUUACUGGGCGUAAAGCGCGUGUAGGCGGCUAUGCAAGUCGGAUGUGAAAGCCCUCGGCUCAACCGGGGAAGUGCACCCGAAACUGCAAAGCUAGAGUCUCGGAGAGGAUCGUGGAAUUCUCGGUGUAGAGGUGAAAUUCGUAGAUAUCGAGAGGAACACCGGUGGCGGAGGCGGCGAUCUGGACGAUGACUGACGCUGAGACGCGAAAGCGUGGGAAGCAAACAGG
Molecule: ribosomal RNA, 253 nt
Filed under: uncultured bacterium
Lineage: Bacteria
Description: partial 16S ribosomal RNA
Rfam family: Bacterial small subunit ribosomal RNA
Source: RNAcentral